RNAcentral lists this ribosomal RNA (428 nucleotides) under uncultured bacterium. RNAcentral's name for it is "bacterial SSU rRNA". It matches the Rfam family "Bacterial small subunit ribosomal RNA", at positions 218 to 638 of the family's 1533-position model. The record is from RNAcentral.
CUUUUGGAGCGGCCGAUGCCUGAUUAGCUAGUUGGUGGGGUAAUGGCCUACCAAAGCUUCGAUCAGUAGCUGGUCUGAGAGGACGGCCAGCCACACUGGGACUGAGACACGGCCCAGACUCCUACGGGAGGCAGCAGUGGGGAAUUUUGGACAAUGGGCGCAAGCCUGAUCCAGCCAUGCCGCGUGAGUGAAGAAGGCCUUCGGGUUGUAAAGCUCUUUCAGCCGGGAAGAAAAGGUUGCGAUUAAUAAUCGCAAUUUAUGACGGUACCGGAAGAAGAAGCACCGGCUAACUACGUGCCAGCAGCCGCGGUAAUACGUAGGGUGCGAGCGUUAAUCGGAAUUACUGGGCGUAAAGGGUGCGCAGGCGGUUUUGUAAGUCAGAUGUGAAAUCCCCGGGCUUAACCUGGGAACUGCGUUUGAAACUACAA